Triticum aestivum (bread wheat) is the source of this 2200-nucleotide long non-coding RNA. RefSeq lists it as uncharacterized. The record is from RefSeq and is a predicted model, not a curated record. NCBI's taxonomy places the organism in Eukaryota, Viridiplantae, Streptophyta, Magnoliopsida, Poales, Poaceae. The transcript is spliced from 6 exons.
CUUUGUGGUGAAAUGUCAAAUAGAGGUCCAUUUGCUAGAAAAUGUGUCGUGUCAGAUGCUGCAACUGGCAUACACAAAAUCACUUUGCUAUAUAUUUACAUAAUACUACCUUUUUCUGGAUAUACUAUAACUAUUUGUUCUCUUUUGUAGUUUGCUCUAUGUUUGGUCAUAUUGUUCCUAGCGGUCUUGGAAGUAUCUUCAAGUUUUAAUAGAUGCAAUCCACGGUCCUGAGAUCGGCAAAGUUUGUGGCAUCCUUCUUCCUUAUGUAUUGCGUCUAAUUGCCUUUGGUCAUAAAUAGCAAGACACUGAUGGAGGAGCCGUCCAGCUCAUGCUGUGACUGUUCCAGCUUUCUGUGCUAAGAAAUCACUGACUGCCAGGAAAGGGAAGUGGACUGUGUGCCAGAGAGCGGUUUAUCUUUGCCCGUCAACUACAUAUCAAUUGACAGACGAUCGACGAGGCUCUCUGUCGCAGCUGUGUGCCUGAUCAACAAGCCAAAUAUUUCGAGUCUGCUUGCUAACGUGUCUGAAGAGAAGAUAUCAGUGAUGGUGGACCUGGUGAUGAGGGCAUCAAGACAAAGAGAUUAAUUCACAACUUUGUUCUUGAUAGGUUGUCGCAUUCCUCGCAGAUUUACCACUCCUUCCCUCUCCUGGAAUCACUAAAUGAGAUCUUGGAAGCUAAUAGAGUUGAAGAAUCACAUGGUAAUGUACACACGAUGCAUUUCAUUUUCCCAAACACCUUCAGUGAACCUUGGCAUCUCCCCCCCAUCCCAGCAGAACAUAUUACAAAGAUUGUCUUAUCAGUGCUGGGAAGGAUCAAUUUAUAGUAUCUUCUGUAUACUUGCAUACCAUCCGUCCGUCAACUGAUGCGACGCUAAGAUGACGAGGUAAUAUCUCUUGUCCCCUCCUUCCCUCUCAUCAACUGAUGCCUCUUUCUUAGAAUUAAAUUUCUUUUGUAGCUUCAGUUCUGUUGUACCUUCAGUUCUGUUCAUACAUGAGUGUUUCUUCCUUCAUUUACAUGAAAAUAUUGUUGUAUAUGCAAGUUAAACCUGUGAUUUUUCUAUUGUUUUGGUUCAUCCAGUUUGUUCCUAGCCUAUACAUGCCUCGUGUUGUAUCUUGGUUGGUAGUGUAUCAUGAUAAUCAAGUUUCACUCACACACUGAUUGGCAAAACAAAAAAUUGGUCGGCAUAACUGGAUGUGGACACUUAGAAUCAGAUAGUCUGUAGGCUUUGGUUAGGAAUAUGCAUCAAAAUCAUAUAUUAUCCUGUCCGUAUAAAUAACCCAAACCCAGGUUUGUUGUAUCAUAAACACUUUCUGAAUUUAAACAACUACGGGCUUAUAGAAGCAUGUUGACAAGGUAAUGGCAGUCUAUCCAAUUAUCCAUGGUGAUGUGCUAAAUCUAUAGGUUAGACCGAUAUAAAUACACACAAAUGUUUAACACGUUUAUUUAGGACCUUUAACAAAUCUGGAGUUGUUGCUUUCUUCAUGCUGAUGAGGGGUGCAGAACUAUCUUAAGGAUGUGUCGUUGUCUCUGCAAAGGGAGUUUUUGCUUGGUGCCUCACUUUCUAUUCGGAGAUGCAACGUCGUGUUUGCUCGGGCAGGUUUUUACCUUUUGUAUGGUCAUUGUUGCUUCAUGCUUUUCUCAGAGAGGGUUUUAUCUGUAGUGCCGUCUCUCCUCUUUGUAGUGCUGCUAUGCUGACUGCCACUCGGUGGCUUUUUUUCCUAUUUCUUUUUUGCUUUCUUUUGGCAUGGUCGUGUUGUUGCCCCGACCAUCUUAUUUGCUUCGCUACUUUGGCCUGGUUGUAUGGAUGUUUGCUUUAUUUAUAAAUUUGGGUGAAAGUCUAUUUCGAGAAGGUUUUAUCUGUAGCCUGCAACCUUUGAGUGUUUCUUAACUACACUGAUUUGUAUGGCGAUAACCAAGUAACGAUGUAACAUUACUGUCAGGCAGUAGGAAAUUAGCUUCCUUUGUCGAGAAACUUGAGAUCUGAUUAAGUCCUGUCAGAUUGUCCUGUUCAUCUUCCUUAUGUUUUGCAGAUAAUUCAGGAGCAGCCAACAUUCUUUGUUUUGCUGACAGUAUGUGUGGGUGUGAAAAUGUGUAUGGUUUUAUGUUUUGAUAUACGCACAACCAGUAAGAUGUGUUCUUUGUUUUCAAGCUCAGUUGUGUGUUUCCUAUGCCUCUCUUAACGCUCAUUGUUACCAUGUGA